GACGAACGCUGGCGGCGUGCCUAAUACAUGCAAGUCGAACGAACCGCGACUGAGUGCUUGCACUUGGUCAAGGUGAGUGGCGAACGGGUGAGUAACACGUGGGUAACCUACCUCAUAGUGGGGGAUAACAGUCGGAAACGACUGCUAAUACCGCAUAGGACAUAGGAUCACAUGAUCCAGUGAGGAAAGGUGGCGCAAGCUAUCGCUAAGAGAUGGACCCGCGGUGCAUUAGCUAGUUGGUAGGGUAAAGGCCUACCAAGGCGAUGAUGCAUAGCCGACCUGAGAGGGUGAUCGGCCACAUUGGGACUGAGACACGGCCCAAACUCCUACGGGAGGCAGCAGUAGGGAAUCUUCCGCAAUGGACGCAAGUCUGACGGAGCAACGCCGCGUGAGUGAGGAAGGUCUUCGGAUCGUAAAGCUCUGUUGUUAGAGAAGAACAGCGCAUAGAGUAACUGCUAUGCGUGUGACGGUAUCUAACCAGAAAGCCACGGCUAACUACGUG
Molecule: ribosomal RNA, 502 nt
Filed under: uncultured bacterium
Lineage: Bacteria
Description: partial 16S ribosomal RNA
Rfam family: Bacterial small subunit ribosomal RNA
Source: RNAcentral